AAAUUGAAGAGUUUGAUCAUGGCUCAGAUUGAACGCUGGCGGCAGGCCUAACACAUGCAAGUCGAACGGUAACAGGAAGCGCUUGCUGCUUCGCUGACGAGUGGCGGACGGGUGAGUAAUGUCUGGGAAACUGCCUGAUGGAGGGGGAUAACUACUGGAAACGGUAGCUAAUACCGCAUAACGUCGCAAGACCAAAGAGGGGGACCUUCGGGCCUCUUGCCAUCGGAUGUGCCCAGAUGGGAUUAGCUUGUUGGUGGGGUAACGGCUCA
This 269-nucleotide ribosomal RNA is filed under the name Escherichia coli. RNAcentral's name for it is "partial 16S ribosomal RNA". It matches the Rfam family "Bacterial small subunit ribosomal RNA", at positions 1 to 267 of the family's 1533-position model. Lineage: Bacteria; Pseudomonadati; Pseudomonadota; Gammaproteobacteria; Enterobacterales; Enterobacteriaceae. The record is from RNAcentral. RNAcentral also lists the same sequence under 2 other names.